This 254-nucleotide ribosomal RNA is filed under the name uncultured bacterium. RNAcentral describes it as "partial 16S ribosomal RNA". It matches the Rfam family "Bacterial small subunit ribosomal RNA", at positions 524 to 776 of the family's 1533-position model. The record is from RNAcentral.
UACGUAGGGUGCGAGCGUUGUCCGGAAUUAUUGGGCGUAAAGAGCUCGUAGGCGGUGUGUCACGUCGGCCGUGAAAACCUGCAGCUUAACUGUGGGCGUGCGGUCGAUACGGGCAUCACUGGAGUUCGGCAGGGGAGACUGGAAUUCCUGGUGUAGCGGUGAAAUGCGCAGAUAUCAGGAGGAACACCGGUGGCGAAGGCGGGAUCCUGGACCAAUAUUGACGCUGAGGAGCGAAAGCCAGGGGAGCAAACGGG